GACUGAUGUUGAACACAGAGAAGCAAGC
This 28-nucleotide non-coding RNA is filed under the name Rattus norvegicus (Norway rat). The record is from RNAcentral. Lineage: Eukaryota; Metazoa; Chordata; Mammalia; Rodentia; Muridae.